RNAcentral lists this ribosomal RNA (233 nucleotides) under uncultured bacterium. Its description in RNAcentral is "partial 16S ribosomal RNA". It matches the Rfam family "Bacterial small subunit ribosomal RNA", at positions 103 to 334 of the family's 1533-position model. The record is from RNAcentral.
CGGGUGAGUAACGCGUGAGGAACCUGCCUCAAAGAGGGGGACAACAGUUGGAAACGACUGCUAAUACCGCAUAAGCCCACGGCUCGGCAUCGAGCAGAGGGAAAAGGAGCAAUCCGCUUUGAGAUGGCCUCGCGUCCGAUUAGCUAGUUGGUGAGGUAACGGCCCACCAAGGCGACGAUCGGUAGCCGGACUGAGAGGUUGAACGGCCACAUUGGGACUGAGAUACGGCCCAG